RNAcentral lists this ribosomal RNA (119 nucleotides) under Pteropus alecto (black flying fox). The record is from RNAcentral. Lineage: Eukaryota; Metazoa; Chordata; Mammalia; Chiroptera; Pteropodidae.
GUCUAUGGCCACGCCACCCUGAACAAGCCCAAUCUUGUCUGAUCUUGGAAACUAAGCAGGGUCGGGCCUGGUUAGUACUUGGAUGGGAGACCACUUAGGAAGACCAGGUGCUAUAGGUG